Long non-coding RNA from Impatiens glandulifera, 716 nucleotides. RefSeq lists it as uncharacterized. The transcript is spliced from 3 exons. NCBI's taxonomy places the organism in Eukaryota, Viridiplantae, Streptophyta, Magnoliopsida, Ericales, Balsaminaceae. The record is from RefSeq and is a predicted model, not a curated record.
UGAACCGGCGUCCUCAAUUUACGGUGUUCCAACCUAGUUAUACGAAGGAGAGAAGGUUCUGUCGAUUUUCAAUCUAUCUCACUAUCGUUUGUCUUUCUGUAUUUUAUUCAUUCAUCAUUCCGUUCAUGUUUAAGAUUGAGAUUUUCUUUCCUAAUCGGCAUUGAUUAAACCCUAAAAUGAGUGAACUCCACGAGAAGGUCGUGAUGCUCUCGUAGGAGAGUUAGAACCUGCAGAUAGAGAAGGGUUAGAGAACUCCCCUUUCAAGGUUUUAAUCUAUCGCCGUUGCACCGACGAUUAUCCAGUAACAAGAGAAGGCGAGCGUAUUUGCAGAAGAAGGCAAUCAUGGAAGCCGCGAGAACAGAGAAAAUCGAUCACGAGGUUGGAGGAUUCCAAAAUGACAUACUUCGUUUUGAACUUUAAAGCGUUCAGAACGAUAUCAUUGGAUCUCAUCCUAUUGAAUCUGCACAGCAAUUGGUGAAUAAGGUGCAGGAGGAGAUGAAGAGGAUAGUGCUUGUAAACACCUAUGGCUCAACUUUUCCCAUGAGAAUGGAACUUGAUACUCAGAUUAUGUCCAAAAGCAACUAGAGAAUCUUGGUGCUCAACGAGUAUGGAUUAAAGACAUGUUUAAAGAGAUAAAGAUGAAGGUAUAUUUAUUACACAUUUCUCCCUGACCCUGCUUUUCGCUAUAUAUGAAUGAUUCCAUUCUUUGUUCUAUC